RNAcentral lists this non-coding RNA (118 nucleotides) under Gorilla gorilla gorilla (western lowland gorilla). Lineage: Eukaryota; Metazoa; Chordata; Mammalia; Primates; Hominidae. The record is from Rfam by way of RNAcentral.
GCCGGGCGUGGUGGCUCACGCCUGUAAUCCCAGCACUUUGGGAGGCCGAGGCGGGAAGAUCACUUGAGGUCAGGAGUUCCUAGACCAGCCUGGCCAACAUGGUGAAACCCCGUCUCUA